This 273-nucleotide ribosomal RNA is filed under the name uncultured Actinomycetes bacterium. RNAcentral describes it as "uncultured actinobacterium partial 16S ribosomal RNA". It matches the Rfam family "Bacterial small subunit ribosomal RNA", at positions 28 to 276 of the family's 1533-position model. The record is from RNAcentral. Lineage: Bacteria; Bacillati; Actinomycetota; Actinomycetes.
GACGAACGCUGGCGGCGUGCUUAACACAUGCAAGUCGUACGACAGCAUUCCUUUUGGGGGUGUUUGGAGUGGCGAACGGGUGAGUAACACGUGAGUAACCUGCCCUCUUCUUUGGGAUAACGUGCGGAAACGUGCGCUAAUACUGAAUAUUCUUAUUCUGCUGCAUGGUGGGGUGGGGAAAGGACUGUGGGGUCUUUAGGGGCUUUGUGGUUUGGUGGGGGGUGGCUCGCGGCCUAUCAGCUUUGUUGGUGGGGUGAUGGCCUACCAAGGCGU